CGACCUCAUCACGUAGAAACAUCGGCCACCAUACGAUCACCGAAAUUAAGCAACAUCAAGCCUGAACAGUACCUAGUUGGGUUACCGCUUGGGAAUUCCCGGUGCUGUAAG
Acanthosepion pharaonis is the source of this 111-nucleotide non-coding RNA. The record is from the annotation of a GenBank genome assembly. NCBI's taxonomy places the organism in Eukaryota, Metazoa, Mollusca, Cephalopoda, Sepiida, Sepiidae.